CCCGCACCAGCGGCGGGUAAGGGGGGAGACGGCGGAAUUGAUCCGGCACCGCCUCACGGCCAUGAUGAAACUGAGGAGGUACGGCGACGUGAGCGGGGAGGUGGAACGGCUGAACCUCGGCGA
This 123-nucleotide non-coding RNA is filed under the name Odontella aurita. The record is from RNAcentral. Lineage: Eukaryota; Bacillariophyta; Thalassiosirophyceae; Eupodiscales; Odontellaceae.